GGGAUAUUAGCUCAGUUGGUUUAGAGCGCUUGCUUGACAGGCAAGAGGCCACAGGUUCGAAUCCUGUAUGUCCCACAA
Molecule: transfer RNA, 78 nt
Filed under: Flavobacteriales bacterium
Lineage: Bacteria; Pseudomonadati; Bacteroidota; Flavobacteriia; Flavobacteriales
Description: tRNA-Val
Rfam family: tRNA
About the family: Transfer RNA (tRNA) molecules are approximately 80 nucleotides in length. Their secondary structure includes four short double-helical elements and three loops (D, anti-codon, and T loops). Further hydrogen bonds mediate the characteristic L-shaped molecular structure. tRNAs have two regions of fundamental functional importance: the anti-codon, which is responsible for specific mRNA codon recognition, and the 3' end, to which the tRNAs corresponding amino acid is attached (by aminoacyl-tRNA synthetases). tRNAs cope with the degeneracy of the genetic code in two manners: having more than one tRNA (with a specific anti-codon) for a particular amino acid; and 'wobble' base-pairing, i.e. permitting non-standard base-pairing at the 3rd anti-codon position.
Source: RNAcentral